Molecule: ribosomal RNA, 466 nt
Filed under: uncultured bacterium
Lineage: Bacteria
Description: partial 16S ribosomal RNA
Rfam family: Bacterial small subunit ribosomal RNA
Source: RNAcentral
CGAACUCUGGCGGCGUGCUUAACACAUGCAAGUCGAACGGAAAGGCCCUGCUUUUGUGGGGUGCUCGAGUGGCGAACGGGUGAGUAACACUUGAGUAACCUGCCCUUGACUUUGGGAUAACUUCAGGAAACUGGGGCUAAUACCGGAUAGGAGCUCCUGCUGCAUGGUGGGGGUUGGAAAGUUUCGGCGGUUGGGGAUGGACUCGCGGCUUAUCAGCUUGUUGGUGGGGUAGUGGCUUACCAAGGCUUUGACGGGUAGCCGGCCUGAGAGGGUGACCGGCAACAUUGGGACUGAGAUACGGCCCAGACUACUACGGGAGGCAGCAGUGGGGAAUAUUGCACAAUGGGCGGAAGCCUGAUGCAGCAACGCCGCGUGCGGGAUGAAGGACUUCGGGUUGUAAACCGAUUUCGCCUGUGACGAAGCGUGAGUGACGGUAAUGGGUAAAGAAGCACCGGCUAACUACGUG